RNAcentral lists this ribosomal RNA (516 nucleotides) under uncultured bacterium. RNAcentral's name for it is "partial 16S ribosomal RNA". It matches the Rfam family "Bacterial small subunit ribosomal RNA", at positions 29 to 523 of the family's 1533-position model. The record is from RNAcentral.
AGCGAACGCUGGCGGCGUGCUUAACACAUGCAAGUCGAACGUGAAAGGGAGCAAUCCCAAGUAAAGUGGCGUACGGGUGAAUAACGCGUUGGUAAUCUACCCCAAAAUCUGGAAUAACUUGCCGAAAGGCGGGCUAAUACUGGAUAGAGCGAUGGAAUCCGUAAUUGGGUUUUUCGGGAAAGGGAGGCAGCAAUGCCCCUCGUUUUGGGAUGAGCCUGCGUCUCAUUAGCUAGUUGGCGAGGUAAUAGCUCACCAAGGCUUUGAUGGGUAGCUGGUCUGAGAGGAUGAUCAGCCACACUGGAACUGAAACACGGUCUAGACUCCUACGGGAGGCAGCAGUGGGGAAUCUUGCGCAAUGGACGAAAGUCUGACGCAGCCACGCCGCGUGAGUGAAGAAGGCCUUCGGGUUGUAAAGCUCUGUCGGGCGGGACGAAAAUGCAUUAAGUGAAUAGCUUAGUGUACUGACGGUACCGCCAAAGGAAGCACCGGCUAACUCCGUGCCAGCAGCCGCCGUAA